CUGGUUCCCAGGGUGGCUGGCUGUAAUCACUGGCAUGACUAUUGCAGGUGCACAGGUGGGCAGAGCUGCCCACCCCACCCCCAGCGUGACUGGCUGCAAUGACUGGCAUGACCACUGUGAGCAUGCUGUCAAAGAUGUAUUCUGCCAUUCUUCAGGUCAUUUUCAGGCCAUCUCUUCUUGACUUGCCUCUUCUUCAUCUCGACAUUCCUGUAACUGCCUCAUCUUCUCCAUGAGGGCUUCGACCUCAAAGAAGGAAUCACUUACCUGGAGAGAAAAUAUUAAUGUUGCAUAUGUCAAAGAAUGAAAUUAAAAAAAAUUUUUAUUAAGACA
Molecule: long non-coding RNA, 330 nt
Organism: Suricata suricatta (meerkat)
Lineage: Eukaryota; Metazoa; Chordata; Mammalia; Carnivora; Herpestidae
Exons: 3
Source: RefSeq, a predicted model, not a curated record